This 439-nucleotide ribosomal RNA is filed under the name uncultured bacterium. RNAcentral's name for it is "partial 16S ribosomal RNA". It matches the Rfam family "Bacterial small subunit ribosomal RNA", at positions 339 to 795 of the family's 1533-position model. The record is from RNAcentral.
CUACGGGUUGCACCAGUGGGGAAUAUUGCACAAUGGGGGAAACCCUGAUGCAGCAACGCCGCGUGGAGGAUGACACAUUUCGGUGCGUAAACUCCUUUUAUAUGAGAAGAUAAUGACGGUAUCAUAUGAAUAAGCUCCGGCUAACUCCGUGCCAGCAGCCGCGGUAAUACGGGGGGAGCAAGCGUUACUCGGAAUUACUGGGCGUAAAGCGCAUGUAGGCGGAUAGAAAAGUCAGAAGUGAAAUCCUAUAGCUUAACUAUAGAACUGCUUCUGAAACUCUCUAUCCAGAAUGUGGGAGAGGUAGAUGGAAUUUCUGGUGUAGGGGUAAAAUCCGUAGAGAUCAGAAGGAAUACCGAUUGCGAAGGCGAUCUACUGGAACAAUAUUGACGCUGAGAUGCGAAAGCGUGGGGAGCAAACAGGAUUAGAUACCCCGGUAGUC